CCUGUUCCAGUAUACAAUCCUCCUCCGGUUGUUGAACCACCACCAGUUUACAAUCCUCCUCCGGUUUACAAUCCUCCUCCUGUUUACACACCAACACCAAAGCCAGAACCACCAGUAGUCAAGCCUCCUUGUGACCCAAAACCAAAGCCACAGCCACCUGUCUACAAACCUGCUCCCAUUCCGGUUUAUAAGCCAAAGCCAAAGCCGCCAGUCUACAAGCCUGCUCCCGUCCCAGUUUACAAGCCAAAGCCAAAUCCAGAGCCUCCAGUCUACAAGCCUGCUCCCAUUCCGGUUUAUAAGCCAAAGCCAAAGCCACCAGUCUACAAGCCUUCUCCCAUCCCAGUUUACAAACCAAAGCCAAAUCCAGAGCCUCCGGUUUACAAGCCUGCUCCCAUUCCAGUUUAUAAGCCAAAACCAAAACCGCCUGUUUAUAAGCCUGCUCCCGUUCCAGUUUACAAACCAAAGCCAAAGCCACCCGUUUACAAGCCUGCUCCAGUUCCGGUUUACAAGCCAAAGCCAAAGCCGCCAGUCUACAAACCGGCUCCGGUUCCAGUUUACAAGCCAAAACCAGAGCCACCGGUUUACAAGCCAGCUCCGGUUCCGGUUCCAGUUUACAAACCAAAGCCAAAGCCGCCAGUCUACAAACCUUCCCCUGUUCCAGUUUAUAAGCCAAAGCCUGAGCCACCGGUCUACAAACCUGCCCCUGUUCCAGUUUACAAGCCAAAGCCAGAGCCACCGGUUGUCAAGCCUCCUUGUGACCCAAAACCAAAACCAGAGCCACCUGUCUACAAGCCUGCUCCCGUUCCUAUUUACAAACCUAAGCCAGAGCCGCCAGUCUACAAGCCUUCUCCAGUUCCAGUUUACAAACCGGAGCCAAAACCGCCUGUUUAUAAUCCUUCUCCUGUUCCAGAUUACAAUCCAACACCAAAAUCACCAUUGCCUCCGGUAAUAGACCCACCUUCACCAAAGAAACCUUGCCCACCAUUUUCUCUCCCAAAGCUUCCUCCUUUGCCCACCAUUCCUCCAAAGUAUUUCCAUCAUCACCCCAUCCUAGGAAAUCAUCAUCAUUUGCCCACCAUUC
Molecule: long non-coding RNA, 1081 nt
Filed under: Lactuca sativa (garden lettuce)
Lineage: Eukaryota; Viridiplantae; Streptophyta; Magnoliopsida; Asterales; Asteraceae
Description: long non-coding RNA (LSAT_LNC002306)
Source: RNAcentral